Molecule: long non-coding RNA, 1678 nt
Organism: Brassica napus (rape)
Lineage: Eukaryota; Viridiplantae; Streptophyta; Magnoliopsida; Brassicales; Brassicaceae
Exons: 2
Source: RefSeq, a predicted model, not a curated record
CAAAAUUGACUGGGUGGUAGAGUUGUAGUUGUGUCAUAAUUCCAAUUCAAACCCAUACAAUCUUGACAAAGAAAAAAAAAUUGUCCUCUCAAGUGUACGUGAACUAUGUAUGAUCAAAAAUAUUUAGUAUUUUGAUCUUUUUUUUUGGUAAAUUUAAUCACGAUGGUUUGUAAGGAACCAUGUUAAGAAAACAGCUCAAAACUUACCAGACAACUCUUUUAUUCAUUGCCUUGAAAUUAAUUUGAGAAAUUAGUGUGACAUUCUUAAUUGUUUUUUUUUGUGAACAACUCUUAAUCGUUGAUUAUUUUUAGUUAUCUUGUGAAUUUUUUUCUGUGUUAUCUCUAAAAUUUCAUAUUAUUUUUCGGUUCAUAUAUAUCUCUUUUAUCUUUGAGGUAUCUUGAGGUGUCAUUAUUUGCAAUGUUCUAAAUGAUUGUAAAAGUAAUUAGUGAGACAUUCUUAACUGUUUUUUUUUUGUGAGCAAUUCUUAAUUGUUGAUUAUUUUUAGUUAUCUUGUGAUUUUUUUUCUGUGUUAUCGCUAAAAUUUCAUAUUAUUUUUUCGGUUCCUAUCUUUUUUAUCUUUGAAGUAUCUUGAGACUUGAGGUGUCAUUAUUCGCAAUGAUCCGAGUGAUCGUAAAAAAGAGAACAAAAUGAUAUCAUUAUCAUAGUACUGUAUAUGUUAAAAUUCGAUACUUUAAAAAGUGAAAAAGAAAGAAGAUAGAUGCAAUUAUUGAUGCAAACACUCUGGACAAAGGAAUAUGAUUGGUGCAAACUCUAACGAAUGGUAUUUUUAUCCAUGUAGAUCUGAUUACAAGCAAUGUUAGUCAGACACGUGAUGGAUUAGAUCUAGAUAAGUUGGGACUGAAACUUGUAUGCAGUGUUUUAAUUAGGCCACUUCUAUUUUAAACCUUGCUCAUUAGAUGACAAAAAACAUACGGGAUUCCACUAAACCUAUAUUCAUCUACACAAUCGUUGAAGUGGGAUGCCAGUAGCAAUUCGACGAAAAGAAAAAAAAAAAAAACAGACAACUUCUGAGGUCUAAGGUGGAACUUUCGAACUGAAACAGAUAGUGUCUCUUGGUAUUUGUAAUCUCUUUUCACAGUGUCUCAAGGGAAAAAACGAUAAGGAGAUCAUGAGGGAGAUUCAAGCUCCAAUGAGACAAGCUAACUUACUUGCCAUGUCUUGAUGGAAACAUAUUCACAAGGACGACGCACUCAUUCUUUUACAGGAAUGACGAAGAGGAUGAAGAGUGACUGACACCACUCACACUAGCACACUGUUGCCUCUCCAUCUCUUGUUUAGUCCAAAAUGCAACAAACAAAAAUACAAUUUGAGGUCUUAUUUGGCCUGUAAGGGUGAAUCCAAACUUUUUGUUCUAAUCAGGGGAAACAAAAGGGCGGGAAUUUACAAUGGGAAUGGAAAUAUACAUUUGCAGGGACAGUUCUGUGAUUAAAUUAAGCCGUUGAUGGACUUGGAUAAGAAGUUACUGUGAUCACAUUCUCUCUCUCACUCCUCGGUACACAGCACCAGCUUGAAGAUCAUCCAUGUUGUCUAUGUUCCUAAAGCCAUCAACUUGCAGAUAUGUCCAUCCGCGUCUAGCCAGAAAAUCGCGGUAAUCUUCUUCCGUGUAGAAUAUUUUCUCUUCUGUAUGGACUGGUAACUGGUUGGAUUCAUCGUAAUG